Non-coding RNA from Acanthosepion pharaonis, 113 nucleotides. Lineage: Eukaryota; Metazoa; Mollusca; Cephalopoda; Sepiida; Sepiidae. The record is from the annotation of a GenBank genome assembly.
UACGGCCAUGUGAUGUUGAAAGACCUGUUCUCGUAUGAUCACCAAAGUUAAGCAACAUUGAGCCUGGUCAGUACCUAGAUAGGUGACGGCUUGGAAAUAUCCGGGGCUGUAAG